Molecule: long non-coding RNA, 4546 nt
Filed under: Olea europaea subsp. europaea
Lineage: Eukaryota; Viridiplantae; Streptophyta; Magnoliopsida; Lamiales; Oleaceae
Source: RNAcentral
AAAAAAAGAAAAAAAAAAGGCUAUAUAUAGCCUUACAGAGCAAACAGAAACAAGAAAAUGAAUAGCCCACGUCUAACAACUCCUAGUAACGUGGUAGGACUAAAUCAAACAAACAAAGCAUCCCUCAAUAAUAGGGAUUUAUUGACUCACUAAUAACAAACAACUUAACAUGUAAAUUCAACAAACCUAACAAUUCCUCUCUUAAACUGAAUGCUACAAGCUUCAGCUUGUAGCAGUCUCACAGCAAACUCCCAAUGACCUGUGCAUCUCGUAAAAAUUACCCAGCUUGAGUGGUUUAGUCAUUAUAUCAGCUAGCUGCUCCUUUGUUGAUCAGUGUACCAACACCACCAUACCAUUCUUUGUAAGCUCUCGAAGGAAAUGAAAACACACAUCUAUGUGCUUACUUCGACCAUGCAUUACUGGAUUCUUUGAAAGUUUAAUUGCAAAGCUAUUAUCACAGUAAAUAAUAUUUGACAUGCUUUGAUUUUGACCCAGCUUUCCCAAUACCCUUUUCAACCAUACAACUUGACAUGCACAUUAAGAUGCAACAAUAAACUCUGCUUCUUUAUUAGACAGACUUACUACUUGUUGUUUUUUUAAUAACCAGGACACUUCUUCUGAGCUUAGUAAGAACACAUAACCUGAAAUGCUCUUUCUAUCUUCCAAAUCUCCUGAUAAUCAUUGUCAAUGUAAGCAACAAGCUCAUCAUCUCAUUCCUUCCUAUAGAAAGUACCUAACCCAGUUGUUCCCUGUAGAUAUCUUAGCACCUUUUUCUGCCACCUGUAAAUGAAGCUCAGUAGGAUUCUUCAUAUAUCUACUAAUAAGACUAACUACAAACACCAUGUCUAGUCAAGUAGCUGUGAGAUACAUGAGACUACCUAAAACCUGUUUAUAGUUAACUCUUGUUCACCUUAACUCUACUUUCGUCCUUUACAAACUUAAAACCAAGAACAAUAGGAUUAUGGACAAAGUUACUUCUAUCCAUUCCAAACCUUUAUAGCACCUUCAGAGUAUACUUCUUUUGACUAAUAAAGAUACCACUGGAUUUUUGCAAGACUUCAAGACCAAAGAAAUAUCUCAUUUUAUCGAGAUCUGUCAAAUCAAACUCAUGUUUCGUGGAAUAUUUAAACCAUGUAAACAUUAAUUCAUUGUUUCUAGUAAAAAUGAGAUCAUCAACAUAUAGGCUUACAAUCAAUACUUCACCUUCCUUGUUUGUCUUGAUGAACAAAGUAUGCUCGUAGUCACACUUUUCAAAAUUCUUUUAUGAAAUAGGCUUCUAUACGGCUAUACUAAGCACGAGGUGCUUGCUUAAAUCCCAAAAGUGUCUUCUUUAACUUAUAAACCUUCUAUUCAUUUCCCUUUUGCACAUAACCAUACGGUUGUUCCACAGACACCUCUUUAUUUGACUCACCAUGUAAGAAAGCAAACUUCAUGUCUUGUUGAUAAAUUGUCCAUCCUUUUUAAGCUGCAAGUGCAAUCACCAAACGAAUUGUCUCUAUAUGAGCCACAGGUAUAAAUACUUCUGUAUAGUCUACCCCGUGCUAUUGAGUACAACCCUUCCCUAAUAGCAGAGUUUAAAUUUAUCUACUUCGCCAUUUUCAUUAAACUUAGCCUUAUACACCCACUUCACCCUAAUCUUCUUUGCAUCUUUAGGUAAUUCAGUUAAUUCCCAUGUUCUAUUUUUCCUUAUUGCUUCUAUUUCCACAUCCAUGGCUCUCCUCCAUUUCUUACUCUUCCAUACUUCUUCAAAAUGAAUAGGACCAGCAGCUGCAAACAUGGCCAAAAGAGCUUCAUUAUCUUCUUCAAAAAUUUCUUCUCCCGUUUCAUAUUCUCCCAUCCAGACAGGUGGUCUCUUAUUCAUUCUUUCAUUCAAGGUAGGAUAACUUUCUUGGGUCGAAGAAUCAACUCUUGCUUCAUUUUCCUUUACAAAUCAAAGUCAGAUUUACUUCCUUCUCCAUUUUCAUCACUAACUGUUGCUAAUUCUUCCUCAUAAUUAUCACUUUAUUCCAAAUCACACACAAUAGCUUCUUCAUACUUCUUAUCCCAAUCCCAAUUCUUGUCUUCUUUGAACACCACAUCUUUACUUAUUAUGAUCCUUUGUGAAAUUGGAUCAUAAAUUCUGUAAGCCUUUGACUCUUUGCUAACUUGCAAUAGAACACAACUUAAACUCUUUAUCAUCUAGCUUAGUUCAUUUAGUGUCAAGUAUAUGAACAAACUCUAAAAUACUCAACCGAAGGCUUGACUCCACUCCAAGCUUCUUCUGGAGUCAUAUUUUUUAUUACCAACGUUGGACUUCGAUUGAAGACAUGCACUGUCCAGUUUAUUGCUUCAGGUCAGAAAGUUUUUGGAACUUUCUUUUCUGAAAGCAAACUACGAACCAUAUUCACAAUAGUUCUAUUCUUCCGUUCUGCAACUCCGUCCUGUUGUAGCGUAUAUGCAACUGUCAAUUGUCUUCGUAUCCCAUUUUCAUCACCAAAACUAUUAAACUCUUGGGAUGUAAACUCUCCUCUCUGAUCAGUACGUAAACCUUUAAGAUAAGAGCUUGUUACAUUCUCAACAUGUAUCUUAAAACUUUUGAAAACAGUGAAGGCUUUUGAUUUGUCUGCCUAGAAGUAAAUCCAAGUUUUUCUACUAAAGUCAUCAGUGAAAGUAAGCAAAUACCUUUUCUUGCUGCUAGAGAUGGGCUUUAUUGGACUACAAAAAUCAGCAUGUACUAAUUAAAGAAUCCGUCCAGCUCUUUAAAUGCUCUUCUUUGGAAAUGGGUCCCUCUGUUGCUUUCCUACCAAGCAAUCCUUGCAUAACCUCAAAGGAGACUUAAACUGUUGUAAACCAAUCACCAUCUACCUCUAUUGAAGAGUCAUUAAACAUUUAAAGCUCAAAUUUCCAUAUCUACAGUGCCAACGCUACACUACGUCUUCUGAAAUUGUGUUGAAACAAAUAGAUGCUAUAGGCUCAAUAUAGCAUGUAGUAAGAACAUGUGAUUUGAAGACAUUUUCAAAUCCAUAAUUAAGCCUCUAUCGGAAUGAAGCACUUGACACUUUCCAUGUUGGAACAGAAUAAAAAGCCCUUUCUCUUGUAAUUGUCCAAUACUCAGUAAAUUGUACUUCAGUUCUGGCACAUAAAAAACUCCUGUGAUGAUUUGUAUGAAACCGUUUACCUGCAGCCUUAUGUUAUCCUUUCCUAGCACGAUCAUACUUGAGUUGUCUCCUAGCUUUACAGAAUCUCUAAAAAUUCCAUCAAAAUCUGAGAAGUACUCAUUCUUCUCACACAUAUGAUUGCUACAUCCUAAGUCAAAGAACCAUGUACCUUCUCUACUGGCCUUGUUCAUAUCAACAUAUGCCAUUAGCAACAUCUCUUCUCGAGUCUCAUAGUUUGCCUCCAUCUUUCUACUUGGACAUUCCCAUUGAAAAUGUCCCAACUUUUGAAAAUUAUAGCACUUUACCUUGACCUUGUUAAAGGUUUGUCUGCCUCAUCCCCUUAUUCUACCUCUACAAUUGCCACGGCCGCGACCCCUUCGUCCAGAUUGAUCUACAUUAGUAAUUUGCAAAGCAUGUUCUUCUUCAACAUGAGAACUUAUACGCUGUUCUUGCACAAGUAGGUGGCUUUGCAACUAAUCAAUUGUUAAGGUGUUUGUAUCUGUAGACUCCUCAAUGGAACACACGACAUAAUCAAACUUGGGAGUCAUGGAUCUCAAAACGUUUUCAACAAUAGCAACAUUUCCCUUAUUCUCACCAUCUGCUUUCAUCUUGUUGACAAUGGUAAGAGUCCAGCAAAAUAUUUAAUCACAUGUUCUCUAGUCUUCAUGUGGAAAGUUUCAAAUUCCUUUCGAAGAGCUUGCAAGUGUCCCUGUUUACCCGCAAUGUACCUUGAUAUUUCUACUUAAUGAAGUCCCAGAUAAUUUUUAAUGUAUCUUUGUUGAGAAUUGUCUCCAGGUUUGGAUGUUCUAACGCCUGAAAUAGAUAUUUUUUGCUUACAAAUCUUUCAAUUGCUAAUCUUCAAUGUGCUCCUUUUGGGCAACCAUGAGAGCAACACCUGCUGCUGCUGUAGGAACUCCAUUCUCCUCUAACCCCCAAUACUCCUUGGAACACAAGAGGUUUUCCAUAAGCAUUGCCCAAUGAUCAUAGUAUCCAUCAAAUUUUGGAACUGCUGGCUGCAGAAACGAACUCUCUGUUGCCAUACCACAAGUACAACACAAGGAGAAGACUGCUGCUUCCAAUGCAAUCAGGGCCCUUGAAGGUUGCUCUGAUACCAAAUGUUAAAAAAAUUUGAUGAAAGAUAAAGUAAUAUGGGAGGAAUUUCACUUACAUUGAUUGAAAAACAAACUUGGCUAUAUAUAGCCUCAUAGAGCAAACAGAAAUAAGAAAAGGAAUAGCCCACUUCUAACAAUGCCUAAUAACAUAGUAAGACUAAAUGAAACAAACAAAUCAUUCCUAAAUAAUAGGGAUUUAUUGACUCACUAGUAACAAACCACUUAACAUGUAAAUUCAAAAAACCUAGCAUAAACUACCAUUUAUUAAACGGUGACAAAUUGAAUUCAUUGAAGUUG